Molecule: ribosomal RNA, 1551 nt
Filed under: Staphylococcus haemolyticus
Lineage: Bacteria; Bacillati; Bacillota; Bacilli; Caryophanales; Staphylococcaceae
Description: bacterial SSU rRNA
Rfam family: Bacterial small subunit ribosomal RNA
Source: RNAcentral
UUUAUGGAGAGUUUGAUCCUGGCUCAGGAUGAACGCUGGCGGCGUGCCUAAUACAUGCAAGUCGAGCGAACAGACAAGGAGCUUGCUCCUUUGACGUUAGCGGCGGACGGGUGAGUAACACGUGGGUAACCUACCUAUAAGACUGGGAUAACUUCGGGAAACCGGAGCUAAUACCGGAUAAUAUUUCGAACCGCAUGGUUCGAUAGUGAAAGAUGGUUUUGCUAUCACUUAUAGAUGGACCCGCGCCGUAUUAGUUAGUUGGUAAGGUAACGGCUUACCAAGGCGACGAUACGUAGCCGACCUGAGAGGGUGAUCGGCCACACUGGAACUGAGACACGGUCCAGACUCCUACGGGAGGCAGCAGUAGGGAAUCUUCCGCAAUGGGCGAAAGCCUGACGGAGCAACGCCGCGUGAGUGAUGAAGGUCUUCGGAUCGUAAAACUCUGUUAUUAGGGAAGAACAUACGUGUAAGUAACUAUGCACGUCUUGACGGUACCUAAUCAGAAAGCCACGGCUAACUACGUGCCAGCAGCCGCGGUAAUACGUAGGUGGCAAGCGUUAUCCGGAAUUAUUGGGCGUAAAGCGCGCGUAGGCGGUUUUUUAAGUCUGAUGUGAAAGCCCACGGCUCAACCGUGGAGGGUCAUUGGAAACUGGAAAACUUGAGUGCAGAAGAGGAAAGUGGAAUUCCAUGUGUAGCGGUGAAAUGCGCAGAGAUAUGGAGGAACACCAGUGGCGAAGGCGACUUUCUGGUCUGUAACUGACGCUGAUGUGCGAAAGCGUGGGGAUCAAACAGGAUUAGAUACCCUGGUAGUCCACGCCGUAAACGAUGAGUGCUAAGUGUUAGGGGGUUUCCGCCCCUUAGUGCUGCAGCUAACGCAUUAAGCACUUCGCCUGGGGAGUACGACCGCAAGGUUGAAACUCAAAGGAAUUGACGGGGACCCGCACAAGCGGUGGAGCAUGUGGUUUAAUUCGAAGCAACGCGAAGAACCUUACCAAAUCUUGACAUCCUUUGACAACUCUAGAGAUAGAGCCUUCCCCUUCGGGGGACAAAGUGACAGGUGGUGCAUGGUUGUCGUCAGCUCGUGUCGUGAGAUGUUGGGUUAAGUCCCGCAACGAGCGCAACCCUUAAGCUUAGUUGCCAUCAUUAAGUUGGGCACUCUAAGUUGACUGCCGGUGACAAACCGGAGGAAGGUGGGGAUGACGUCAAAUCAUCAUGCCCCUUAUGAUUUGGGCUACACACGUGCUACAAUGGACAAUACAAAGGGCAGCGAAACCGCGAGGUCAAGCAAAUCCCAUAAAGUUGUUCUCAGUUCGGAUUGUAGUCUGCAACUCGACUACAUGAAGCUGGAAUCGCUAGUAAUCGUAGAUCAGCAUGCUACGGUGAAUACGUUCCCGGGUCUUGUACACACCGCCCGUCACACCACGAGAGUUUGUAACACCCGAAGCCGGUGGAGUAACCAUUUGGAGCUAGCCGUCGAAGGUGGGACAAAUGAUUGGGGUGAAGUCGUAACAAGGUAGCCGUAUCGGAAGGUGCGGCUGGAUCACCUCCUUU